CUGUUAGGGGAUACUACAAUGGAAGUAGGAAGAAUUUUGGAUUCUUUUGUGCAGGUUCAACCCCUGCUCCUCUAG
This 75-nucleotide transfer RNA is filed under the name Crocodylus rhombifer (Cuban crocodile). Its description in RNAcentral is "tRNA-Gln". It matches the Rfam family "tRNA". From Rfam's summary of the family: Transfer RNA (tRNA) molecules are approximately 80 nucleotides in length. Their secondary structure includes four short double-helical elements and three loops (D, anti-codon, and T loops). The record is from RNAcentral. Lineage: Eukaryota; Metazoa; Chordata; Crocodylia; Crocodylidae.